Molecule: ribosomal RNA, 366 nt
Filed under: uncultured bacterium
Lineage: Bacteria
Description: bacterial SSU rRNA
Rfam family: Bacterial small subunit ribosomal RNA
Source: RNAcentral
UCGAACGCUCGUAGCAAUACGGGAGUGGCAGACGGGUGAGUAACGCGUGGGAACAUACCCUCCGGUUCGGAAUAGCUCAGGGAAACUUGGAUUAAUACCGGAUACGGCUGAGAGGCGAAAGAUUUAUCGCCGGAGGAUUGGCCCGCGUUCGAUUAGCUUGUUGGUGAGGUAACGGCUCACCAAGGCGAUGAUCGAUAGCUGGUCUGAGAGGAUGAUCAGCCACAUUGGGACUGAGACACGGCCCAAACUCCUACGGGAGGCAGCAGUGGGGAAUAUUGGACAAUGGGCGCAAGCCUGAUCCAGCCAUGCCGCGUGAGUGAUGACGGCCUUAGGGUUGUAAAGCUCUUUCGCUCGGGACGAUAAUGA